RNAcentral lists this ribosomal RNA (563 nucleotides) under Falciphora oryzae. Its description in RNAcentral is "SSU rRNA". It matches the Rfam family "Eukaryotic small subunit ribosomal RNA", at positions 56 to 623 of the family's 1831-position model. The record is from RNAcentral. Lineage: Eukaryota; Fungi; Ascomycota; Sordariomycetes; Magnaporthales; Magnaporthaceae.
UGUCUAAGUAUAAGCAAUUAUACAGCGAAACUGCGAAUGGCUCAUUAAAUCAGUUAUCGUUUAUUUGAUAGUACCUUACUACAUGGAUAACCGUGGUAAUUCUAGAGCUAAUACAUGCUAAAAACCCCGACUUCGGAAGGGGUGUAUUUAUUAGAUUAAAAACCAAUGCCCUCCGGGGCUCACUGGUGAUUCAUAAUAACUUCUCGAAUCGCACGGCCUUGCGCCGGCGAUGGUUCAUUCAAAUUUCUGCCCUAUCAACUUUCGACGGCUGGGUCUUGGCCAGCCGUGGUGACAACGGGUAACGGAGGGUUAGGGCUCGACCCCGGAGAAAACGCCUGAGAAACGGCGUUUACAUCCAAGGAAGGCAGCAGGCGCGCAAAUUACCCAAUGCCGACGCGGCGAGGUAGUGACGAGAAAUACUGAUACAGGGCUCUUUUGGGUCUUGUAAUUGGAAUGAGUACAAUUUAAAUCUCUUAACGAGGAACAAUUGGAGGGCAAGUCUGGUGCCAGCAGCCGCGGUAAUUCCAGCUCCAAUAGCGUAUAUUAAAGUUGUUGCAGUUAAA